RNAcentral lists this non-coding RNA (93 nucleotides) under Basilea psittacipulmonis DSM 24701. RNAcentral's name for it is "Glycine riboswitch aptamer". It matches the Rfam family "Glycine riboswitch aptamer". From Rfam's summary of the family: This family represents the bacterial glycine riboswitch. Glycine riboswitches usually consist of two metabolite-binding aptamers domains with similar structures in tandem. The record is from Rfam by way of RNAcentral. RNAcentral also lists the same sequence under 1 other name. Lineage: Bacteria; Pseudomonadati; Pseudomonadota; Betaproteobacteria; Burkholderiales; Alcaligenaceae.
UAAUAGCACUCUGGAGAGUUCUGACUUAUCGAAUGAAUAAGAUUCAGACGCCGAAGGUGAUUAACUCUCAGGCACAAGGACAGAGGGGGCAUA